Oxyura jamaicensis (ruddy duck) is the source of this 1101-nucleotide long non-coding RNA. RefSeq lists it as uncharacterized. The transcript has 2 exons. Lineage: Eukaryota; Metazoa; Chordata; Aves; Anseriformes; Anatidae. The record is from RefSeq and is a predicted model, not a curated record.
UCUGCAAAGGCACUUCUGUUGUGUGUUUUUUUUUUUCGCAAAGAUUACCUUCAAGAACGAGAGAGCCCAUUUAAUUUUGAAUUUAAUGACUUUCCACUAUCCCUAAUUCUACCAUUUCCAAGUACAUUAGCUGCAUGAUCUCCAGAUUGCUGGAAAGAUGCCGUCAGGUACCAGACUGAAUGUCAGAUAUAAAAGCUUAAUAAGUGACACGCUUUACAUUUUUGGUGCAAUCGAAUAUAAAAGCUUCCACUCAGUUAAAAUUACCAGAGGUAUUACCGGAGAGAGGUGAAGCCUGACAUUGUGCUGAGGAGGUAUUCCUUGGGCAGCACGCUGCUGGAGAUGGUCCCUGCUUCAGACUGGGGCAGGUUUGAGGCUGACACUGUCCAGGGCCAUGUGCCUUCAUCUGCUGGAUUCUGUUAAUGCACCUUCUUUUCCCAUACAACCAUCUGUGCCCCAUCCGUCAGACCAUGGGGAAGGAGGGCUGAGCCCCUCUGCACCUUCAGGACCAAAGGGAAAGGAAGAUGCCUGUGCUUUCAGCUCCACCCGAGCAUGGCUGGCAGAGUCAGGAAUUGGAAAAGUUAUUCGUGCUCAGCUGCGGAUAACAGGAAAAUGCCAUUUCCAUGUUAACAGGCUGCAGGUGAACCUGUACUGCUUGCUCAGCCCUGACAAAAUGGGUGCUUAACCCCAGUACGUGCAUGAUGGCUUUGCUGGGUUGGGCCCUUAUCUGGAUUGCCUUUUAAACUGGAAGAUGAGCUGCUCCAAGCCCUUCCACUGGCAUGCAGAAAGGCUUUUCUUUUGAACCGACCUGGCUUUUGAGAACAUGCAAAUCUUUUAAAGUCUACGGCUGAGCCGUGCAGGCUGCGCCAGGGCCCUUCUGAUCCCCAAAUUCAUUUCAAAAGCAAUAAUAGAUGUUUCAGCAUAUCUGAAUAUUUUUCACACUGUUUGUGAUUUGCAGCUUUCCUGACUCAGCUUGGUUGUUGUUAAAGGUUUCAGCAGCGAUGUGUCCCAAAAUCUUGUAUUCCAGCUCAGUUGUGACAGAGAUGUAUUGCUCUAGUCAGCAAAGUAUUUGCUUAAGAUCUAAUAAAGCAUCCACACAUCUCA